UGCACACUAGAUGCAUUGGCAUGCUUCCUUCUUCUUCAGCGCUUUCUCAUUCAAAGAGGGAAAAAAUCUCUCUCGUUUACUUGCCACAAAGAAUCAAAAAGUUUCAUGUCUCAAUUGAUGAGUUAUGGAUGUCCAUUUGAUAGCUGCAUUGGUCUUCAAUUUCAGCAGGCCUUGGAGAUUCCGUUGGAUCAAAAUAAGGAAUAACAUUCUUCAGCUCCAGUUGGUUCACGUUUGAAAAAGUGAAGUGGGCUUCUUGUGGUGAUGGAAAAUAUGGUUUUUUGUUGGGUCUUCCAACUCGUGUGGUGGAGCUUCAAUUUAUAUGUGGGUGGUUCAACAUGUUAUUUUGGAGAUUGCCAUGUAUUAGUCUUGAGGAGAUUUAUAUUUUUAUUUUAAGAUACAAAUGGAUGUAGAUUUGUUAGUAAAACA
Long non-coding RNA from Macadamia integrifolia, 426 nucleotides. RefSeq lists it as uncharacterized. The transcript has 3 exons. Lineage: Eukaryota; Viridiplantae; Streptophyta; Magnoliopsida; Proteales; Proteaceae. The record is from RefSeq and is a predicted model, not a curated record.